Molecule: ribosomal RNA, 453 nt
Filed under: Escherichia coli
Lineage: Bacteria; Pseudomonadati; Pseudomonadota; Gammaproteobacteria; Enterobacterales; Enterobacteriaceae
Description: bacterial SSU rRNA
Rfam family: Bacterial small subunit ribosomal RNA
Source: RNAcentral
UUUGAACGCUGGCGGCAGGCCUAACACAUGCAAGUCGAACGGUAACAGGAAGCAGCUUGCUGCUUCGCUGACGAGUGGCGGACGGGUGAGUAAUGUCUGGGAAACUGCCUGAUGGAGGGGGAUAACUACUGGAAACGGUAGCUAAUACCGCAUAACGUCGCAAGACCAAAGAGGGGGACCUUCGGGCCUCUUGCCAUCGGAUGUGCCCAGAUGGGAUUAGCUAGUAGGUGGGGUAACGGCUCACCUAGGCGACGAUCCCUAGCUGGUCUGAGAGGAUGACCAGCCACACUGGAACUGAGACACGGUCCAGACUCCUACGGGAGGCAGCAGUGGGGAAUAUUGCACAAUGGGCGCAAGCCUGAUGCAGCCAUGCCGCGUGUAUGAAGAAGGCCUUCGGGUUGUAAAGUACUUUCAGCGGGGAGGAAGGGAGUAAAGUUAAUACCUUUGCUCAUU